Molecule: non-coding RNA, 65 nt
Organism: Oleiphilus sp. HI0009
Lineage: Bacteria; Pseudomonadati; Pseudomonadota; Gammaproteobacteria; Oceanospirillales; Oleiphilaceae
Source: Rfam
CAACUAGCUCAAUUGGUAGAGCGAAUGACUUUUAAUCAUUUGGUGUCGGUUCAAUUCCGACGUUG